This 729-nucleotide ribosomal RNA is filed under the name Fusiformiascus fatsiae-japonicae. Its description in RNAcentral is "Diatrypella sp. SL-2022a partial large subunit ribosomal RNA". It matches the Rfam family "Eukaryotic large subunit ribosomal RNA", at positions 113 to 865 of the family's 3401-position model. Lineage: Eukaryota; Fungi; Ascomycota; Sordariomycetes; Xylariales; Diatrypaceae. The record is from RNAcentral.
AUUUGAAAUCUGACCUUCGGGUCCGAGUUGUAAUUUGUAGAGGAUGCUUUUGGUGCAGUGCCUUCCGAGUUCCUUGGAACAGGACGCCUUAGAGGGUGAGAGCCCCGUACGGUUGGACACUAAGCCUCUGUAAAGCUCCUUCGACGAGUCGAGUAGUUUGGGAAUGCUGCUCUAAAUGGGAGGUAAAUUUCUUCUAAAGCUAAAUACCGGCCAGAGACCGAUAGCGCACAAGUAGAGUGAUCGAAAGAUGAAAAGUACUUUGAAAAGAGGGUUAAAUAGCACGUGAAAUUGUUGAAAGGGAAGCGUUUAUGACCAGACCUUUGCCUGGCGGAUCAUCCGGGGUUCUUCCCCGGUGCACUUCGCCUGGCUUAGGCCAGCAUCGAUUUCUGUAGGGGGAUAAAGGCCAUGGGAACGUAGCUCUCUUCGGGGAGUGUUAUAGCCUUAGGUGUAAUACCUUUACGGGGAUCGAGGUUCGCGCUUCUGCAAGGAUGCUGGCGUAAUGGUCAUCAACGACCCGUCUUGAAACACGGACCAAGGAGUCGAACAUUUAUGCGAGUGUUUGGGUGUUAAACCCUCACGCGGAAUGAAAGUGAACGGAGGUGAGAGCCCUUACGGGGUGCAUCAUCGACCGAUCCUGAUGUAUUCGGAUGGAUUUGAGUAAGAGCAUAACUGUUCGGACCCGAAAGAUGGUGAACUAUGCGUGGAUAGGGUGAAGCCAGAGGAAACUCU